Long non-coding RNA from Paramisgurnus dabryanus, 1902 nucleotides. RefSeq lists it as uncharacterized. NCBI's taxonomy places the organism in Eukaryota, Metazoa, Chordata, Actinopteri, Cypriniformes, Cobitidae. The record is from RefSeq and is a predicted model, not a curated record.
CUCAUCUACAAAAAACAAACAAAUACUUGUUAUACUUUUAUGAAUUGUCAAGUUGUACAACACACAGCAAUUAAGAUUAAGACAAACAAAAAAAUCACUGAUAUUAUUAAUUCCAUUGUUGUGUCUAAUAGAUAGAAACAACUUGUGUUGUAAAAGGAAAGAUGACAGCCAGAUGACGUCAAAGUAUCGCGAGAGCGAGACGAAAUUUGAUUUCUUAAAUCAUUCUCGCGGUACUCUGACGUCAUCCGGCUGUCAGUCUUGCGGCGCCGCAUGAAGUCAAAUAAGCCUCCUGACUGCGUGCGAGAACAUUUUGAAUUAUCUGGCACGAGGCAUCACACGUCAAACUUCAACUGACACAACGGUCUCGGUGAAGGGAAUAAGCAAAAGCUCCUUUAAAUUUCGUCAUUUUUUAUACACAUCCCGUUUAUUUUGUAGUUAAUUGUUAGAUAAGUAAGUAAUUUCGUCAAGUUUUCGUUACAGAGUAAGAUUUCGUUAUCAUCGUUACCAUAUACAGUAUUUAUAUUGGUUCAAGAGCGCAGUUUGAUAACUCAUUCAAGCCUUUAAACAUCUAAACAUGUCCUCCAAAAAGGUAAGUUCAGCAGAUCAGCUUAUCUUAUUCUGUAAUAUUGAUACUGGUUUGAGAAAAACUAAGAUUAAACAACGUACAUGUUUCCAGGAAAAAGGGAAAAACACUGGAAAACAAUUUCAGCCUAAGGUUUGAGAUGGCUAACUGUGUACAUUGCCUUUGUGUACUGCAAGCUGAACUUACAGAUUUAUAUGGACUUUACUUACAGGUUUCCUGUGCUGUUUUGCUCCAUUUUACAGAACAAAAUAAGGCUGAGGUAGCACCAUCCUUGUGGUUAGAGUGAAAGAAUGUGGGUAUUGAGACCAAAAUAAAUAAUGUGCCAUUCUGGACAAACAGCUGUGGACAAUACAAGCAGUCAGAGUAGCCCAUUUUCUCACACAGACCUGAGGAUAAGAUUUCCAGUUUGAAAGUGAAGAAAAUGAAUCAUUAUUAACAGCAAUUAGUAGUUUUUCAGCUGAGAAGCCAGGUGAAACUAUAAGGACACUAUGAUUUACUUUCAUAUUAUCAUUCUUUUAUAGAUGAGGAGCAACCAGUAAGAAAAAGCAAAAAGAUGUUUUGAUGUUGCCUGAGGCACCUUAUUCACAUCAGUCAAUUUCUUUCAAUAAUGAAUCAAGAAAUCCUGGAGUGGAGAAUCAUUCUGAAAGUAGACCAAAUACAGGACAACACCACAGCAGUGGUUGGAAAAAUGCAGCAGACAAUGAGCAAACCAAGCUGACUUUCAAAAGAUGAUUCGUUAUCUGUUUCUUCAAAGGGGAGGCAGUUUGGGAGAUGGGAAAUAGGAGGAUGCUUCAGCUACACAGGGCGAAUUUCAGCAGCUCAGUUUCACACUUGCAACUAACAAUGAAUUAUAGUUAGAAGACAACGGAAAUAUUUGACAUGGGAGUCCAGCAGACAGCCAGAGACACGCACACACACGGAGCUGAAGCGCGUUUGACUGACGCGUACGGGAGAUCAGGCACGCGCACGGGAGAUCAGGCACGCGCACGGGAGCUCGCUCGCGCACGCACACACAAACACGGAGCACAGGAAAAUUACACCUGUUCAAUUAAAAUAAAAGAACUUUGUGGUAAACAAUGUUUAGCGUGUCUGAUUUCAUUGGUUGUAAUGAAAUAAAACGAUGUGCUGAGGACUUUAGGCGAACGUCCCCUAAAAGUCCCGAAAGUCCGCUGACCGUCCUGCAAACGUCCUUGUGAAAGUCCGGAGGACGUCUUCGCGGACGUCCGCUCGACGUAACAGGGGACCCUACACGAUAACGUCCAGGGGACGUUCGCAGAGGACAUUUAGGGGACGUCCAGGGGACCUUUUUUUGUUAGCUG